Molecule: ribosomal RNA, 497 nt
Filed under: uncultured bacterium
Lineage: Bacteria
Description: partial 16S ribosomal RNA
Rfam family: Bacterial small subunit ribosomal RNA
Source: RNAcentral
GAUGAACGCUGGCGGCGUGCCUAAUACAUGCAAGUCGAGCGAACAGACGAGGAGCUUGCUCCUCUGACGUUAGCGGCGGACGGGUGAGUAACACGUGGAUAACCUACCUAUAAGACUGGGAUAACUUCGGGAAACCGGAGCUAAUACCGGAUAAUAUAUUGAACCGCAUGGUUCAAUAGUGAAAGACGGUUUUGCUGUCACUUAUAGAUGGAUCCGCGCCGCAUUAGCUAGUUGGUAAGGUAACGGCUUACCAAGGCGACGAUGCGUAGCCGAACUGAGAGGGUGAUAGGCCACACUGGAACUGAGACACGGUCCAGACUCCUACGGGAGGCAGCAGUAGGGAAUCUUCCGCAAUGGGCGAAAGCCUGACGGAGCAACGCCGCGUGAGUGAUGAAGGUCUUCGGAUCGUAAAACUCUGUUAUUAGGGAAGAACAAAUGUGUAAGUAACUAUGCACGUCUUGACGGUACCUAAUCAGAAAGCCACGGCUAACUACGUG